Non-coding RNA from Macaca mulatta (Rhesus monkey), 2205 nucleotides. The record is from RefSeq and is a predicted model, not a curated record. Lineage: Eukaryota; Metazoa; Chordata; Mammalia; Primates; Cercopithecidae.
CUGGCGACAAAGGAAGACAAAAACAAACAAACAAACGAACAACAACAACAAAAAACCCCAAAAAACUGAAUACACCUACUUACAGUUAUGCAAUUAAAAUGGCAUUUCCUGGCCAAUGAAAUUCUACCCAAUUUAUAAGCCUAAACCUAAAAGGCAUAUUCUCAGUGAAAACCUUCCCCAAUUUAAAAAUUAGAAUUAAUAAUUUUUUUCCCUAUUAUCUGUAUAACUUUACUGGAGUACUUAUCACAGAUUCAAAUUUUUGCUGUUUGUUGGUUAACUACUUUUUCACAACUAUUUCUAGAUAUAAGUCAUUUCAAAACUUAGUGAUGUAAAACAACAGCUGAUUUCAUUUUGUUCAUCAUUUAGUAGGUCAGGACUUCAGGAGGAUACAGUAGGCCAUUUUCACUUGAUUAUCUCAUAUGAUUGCAGUCAGAUGUCCAGCUGGGCUGCAGUCACGUAAAAUCACUGACUCCUGGAUGUGAAGGAUGGCUCUCUCAGAGGGUUGGCAGUUGAUACUAGCUGUUGGCUGGGAGCUCAGCUGGGGCCGUGAGUUGGACUGCCUAGAUGUAGCCUCUCUAGCAUGGUAGUGUUAAUUAGAUUACUCACACGGCAGCUGCAUUUCCCAAAGCAAGUGUCACUAGGUUCGCAGAUGAAUACUGCAUGACGUUUUGUGAUUUAGCCUUGGAAGUCACACAGCAUCACCUCCACUUCUGUUGGUUGUAAAUGGCCUGCACAGAAAACUGAUAGAUCUGUCCUGUCCAGGUCUCCUAUUCUCUGUCUGUUUCUCUAAAAUGUGUAUUACUUUCCAUUUCAUGUUUGCAGGUCUAAUUUAUUUCCCUUGUCAAGUUCUGCCUCAGCACUACAUGCUUUUUUACAUCCUUUACUGAGUCCAUUAUGCAACUACUGGAGCCAGCACUUAUGUUCUUGAGAGCAUCAAUAUAGUGGUUCAAAUCCCAGGUCUCCUAUUUAAAGAUCUUGGAAAGUUAGUUAAUUUAUGUGAAAAGCAGGAAUAAUAACAGAACCUACCUACCUCAUGGAGUUGAGAGAACUGAAUGAGAAAUUGGUAGAGAAUAUUGCGUGACACAUAGUAAGUACACAACAUUAGCUAUCAUUUUUACCAUAUCUUUCUUCUUCAAAGUCCAGGUCAGUUUACUUGUACCUUUUAAAAUAUAUAUGGCAUAGUCUGUACUUGUGGAUAGUAGUUCAUGGGCUUAUUUUCUAUUGUUUUCAUAUUUAGUCCAAUGUCUUAUAGACAAAAUAUGCCUGGAGAUAUCUGCAUUGUGAAUAUCAACUCAGAUGUCCUGUGAUCUUUAAGCCUCAGUACACAAAACACAUGAAGAAACUUGCAUUUUUUUCUCUAUUAUUCUUUGUAACCUUUUCUUCCCAUGAUCUCUCUUGCAGAAAUUAGAAAAGAAAAAUCUGGGAAAACUUCUUCAGUUCUGAAAGAUAAAGAACCUAUUAAAGGGAAAGAAGAGAAAGUUCCAGCUUCCCUAAAGGAAAAAGAACCUGAAACUAAAAAAGAUGAAAAGAUGUCCAAAGCAGGUAAGGGUAUUUUGUAAGAUUUACAUACAAGGAGAUGUUCUGUUUGGUUGGAACAAAGCUAGUUUUACAGUUUUACAAUCAUGGCUGGAUAAAACAUUUAGACAUCCAAAACAUUAAAAAAAUACUGAUGCUACGUGCUGUAUAUUUUACAAGUAAUAAGCAAUAAAAUUAAAUGUAUGCUAAAGUUAACAAAAAUUCCUUGCUUUCUGGUAGCAGAUUUUGGGUAAGUUUAUCAAAGCGCUAGAACCAUUUUCUUUAUUUACUGGGCAAUUGAACACUGUUUAUGAAAUGCUAAGAGGGCACCUUAAAUGUCAGAGGCUCCAUACAGAGCGAGACAAAUGCCCACAAUUUAUUAUUAUCAUGCAUUGAUUUUUAUGAACCUGUAUUUACCUGCUUUCAACCAUUUUUGAUCUCUAAAAAAGGAGUCCCACGCGAUCCAACCUAACAGAUUAAACAUUUUUCUUUCCCACAAUUAAAUGUGCAAAUAUUUUAUGGAGACGUAAUCCAUUGACCUAUUGGCUAUUAAUUUGAAAGUUGAAAUAUUUUUAAAAUAGACUUUCUAAAAACAGGUUUGGCAAGGGAAGAAUUCAAGAGAUUAGCAGGGCACUCAAGGCAAGUGAUGAAGGUUGAGUGGAUGAGUAGCAUAGAAUAGGGGAAAAUGUA